Molecule: ribosomal RNA, 383 nt
Filed under: Teleaulax sp.
Lineage: Eukaryota; Cryptophyceae; Pyrenomonadales; Geminigeraceae
Description: partial small subunit ribosomal RNA
Rfam family: Eukaryotic small subunit ribosomal RNA
Source: RNAcentral
AUUCCAGCUCUAAUAGCGUAUAUUAAAGUUGUUGCAGUUAAAAAGCUCGUAGUCGGAUGUCGGGCUCGGGCAGGCUGUCGGCUUCGGUCGGACGGCAGGCUCGGGUCUUUCUGCCUGAGGAUCCUGUUGCACUUAAUUGUGGGGCGUGGGGACGCAGGCCGUUUACUUUGAAAAAAUUAGAGUGUUCAAAGCAGGCCUACGCUUGAAUACAUUAGCAUGGAAUAAUGGAAUAGGACUUUGGUGCUAUUUUGUUGGUUUAUGGGACCGAAGUAAUGAUUAACAGGGACAGUUGGGGCCGUUUAUAUUUCGUUGUCGGAGGUGAAAUUCUUGGAUUUACGAAAGAUAAACUUCUGCGAAAGCAUUCGGCAAGGAUGUUUUCAUUG